CGAGGAGAUGAUGAAGGCCUUAGGGUCGUAAAGCUCUUUCGCCAGGGAUGAUAAUGACAGCUACCUGGUAAAGAAACCCCGGCUAACUCCGUGCCAGCAGCCGCGGUAAUACGGAGGGGGUUAGCGUUGUUCGGAAUUACUGGGCGUAAAGCGUACGUAGGCGGAUUGUAAAGUUAGAGGUGAAAUCCCAGGGCUCAACCCUGGAACUGCCUUUAAAACUGCUGGUCUUGAGUUCGAGAGAGGUGAGUGGAAUUCCGAGUGUAGAGGUGAAAUUCGUAGAUAUUCGGAGGAACACCAGUGGCGAAGGCGGCUCACUGGCUCGAUACUGACGCUGAGGUACGAAAGUGUGGGGAGCAAACAGGAUUAGAUACCCUGGUAGUCCACACCGUAAACGAUGAAUGCCAGUCGUCGGGUAGCAUGCUGUUCGGUGACACACCUAACGGAUUAAGCAUUCCGCCUGGGGAGUACGGUCGCAAGAUUAAAACUCAAAGGAAUUGACGGAAACUC
Molecule: ribosomal RNA, 507 nt
Filed under: uncultured bacterium
Lineage: Bacteria
Description: bacterial SSU rRNA
Rfam family: Bacterial small subunit ribosomal RNA
Source: RNAcentral